AGUGAACGCUGGCGGUAGGCCUAACACAUGCAAGUCGAACGGCAGCACAGUAAGAGCUUGCUCUUACGGGUGGCGAGUGGCGGACGGGUGAGGAAUACAUCGGAAUCUACUUUUUCGUGGGGGAUAACGUAGGGACACUUCCGCUAAUACCUCAUACGACCUACGGGUUAAAUCAGUGGAUCUUCGGACCUUGCGCGAUUGAAUGAGCCGAUGUCGGAUUAGCUAGUUGGCGGGGUAAAGGCCCACCAAGGCGACGAUCCGUAGCUGGUCUGAGAGGAUGAUCAGCCACACUGGAACUGAGACACGGUCCAGACUCCUACGGGAGGCAGCAGUGGGGAAUAUUGGACAAUGGGCGAAAGCCUGAUGCAGCCAUACCGCGUGGGUGAAGAAGGCCUUCGGGUUGUAAAGCCCUGUUAUUGGGAAAGAAAAGAAGCAGGUUAAAACCCCGCUGUUCUGACGGUACCCAAAGAAUAAGCACCGGCUAACUUCGUG
RNAcentral lists this ribosomal RNA (492 nucleotides) under uncultured bacterium. RNAcentral's name for it is "partial 16S ribosomal RNA". It matches the Rfam family "Bacterial small subunit ribosomal RNA", at positions 29 to 507 of the family's 1533-position model. The record is from RNAcentral.